This 482-nucleotide ribosomal RNA is filed under the name uncultured bacterium. Its description in RNAcentral is "bacterial SSU rRNA". It matches the Rfam family "Bacterial small subunit ribosomal RNA", at positions 28 to 492 of the family's 1533-position model. The record is from RNAcentral.
GAUGAACGCUGGCGGCGUGCCUAAUACAUGCAAGUAGAACGCUGAAGCUUGGUGCUUGCACCGAGCGGAUGAGUUGCGAACGGGUGAGUAACGCGUAGGUAACCUGCCUCUUAGCGGGGGAUAACUAUUGGAAACGAUAGCUAAUACCGCAUAAAAGUCGACAUCGCAUGAUGUUGACUUGAAAGGUGCAAUUGCAUCACUAAGAGAUGGACCUGCGUUGUAUUAGCUAGUUGGUGAGGUAACGGCUCACCAAGGCGACGAUACAUAGCCGACCUGAGAGGGUGAUCGGCCACACUGGGACUGAGACACGGCCCAGACUCCUACGGGAGGCAGCAGUAGGGAAUCUUCGGCAAUGGGGGCAACCCUGACCGAGCAACGCCGCGUGAGUGAAGAAGGUUUUCGGAUCGUAAAGCUCUGUUGUAAGAGAAGAACGAGUGUGAGAGUGGAAAGUUCACACUGUGACGGUAACUUACCAGAAAGGG